UACGUAGGGGGCAAGCGUUGUCCGGAUUUACUGGGCGUAAAGAGCGCGCAGGCGGUCGAUCAAGUCGCGUGUGAAAGCCCCCGGCUCAACUGGGGAGGGUCACGCGAUACUGAUCGACUCGAAGGCAGGAGAGGGUAGUGGAAUUCCCGGUGUAGUGGUGAAAUGCGUAGAUAUCGGGAGGAACACCAGUGGCGAAGGCGACUACCUGGCCUGUUUCUUGACGCUGAGGCGCGAAAGCUAGGGGAGCAAACGGG
RNAcentral lists this ribosomal RNA (254 nucleotides) under uncultured bacterium. RNAcentral's name for it is "partial 16S ribosomal RNA". It matches the Rfam family "Bacterial small subunit ribosomal RNA", at positions 524 to 776 of the family's 1533-position model. The record is from RNAcentral.